Molecule: transfer RNA, 75 nt
Filed under: Sphaerodactylus townsendi
Lineage: Eukaryota; Metazoa; Chordata; Lepidosauria; Squamata; Sphaerodactylidae
Description: tRNA-Ala
Rfam family: tRNA
About the family: Transfer RNA (tRNA) molecules are approximately 80 nucleotides in length. Their secondary structure includes four short double-helical elements and three loops (D, anti-codon, and T loops).
Source: RNAcentral
GGAGGGGCCACGGUUCAGUGGCAGAGCAUCUGCUUUGCAUGCAGGAGGUCCCGAGUUAAAUCUCUGGCUCCUUUG